Molecule: long non-coding RNA, 624 nt
Filed under: Pongo abelii (Sumatran orangutan)
Lineage: Eukaryota; Metazoa; Chordata; Mammalia; Primates; Hominidae
Description: lincRNA
Source: RNAcentral
AGACAAUGGGGGAGUUGCAGAGAGAGGUGCCCUGUGUUUGUUCCCAGCCUUCCUUCACUCACCUGCACCUGCCCCUGCCCUGCUUUGGCCAACAUGUUCUAUGCAGGCAGCAGAGUUCAUAUCAAGGGCCCAUGUUUUAGCUGAAUAUAAUGAUUUUUUUUUUCACCUUGGAAGAGUCUUAGAGGCAAGACUAGAAUGUUAAUCUAAAAGGAGUGCAAAUUUCUUCAACAACCAUUCCCACGGAGGAAGGUCUACUCUGUGAAAAGGAAAUGAUCAUACAUAAUUCACACAUUUGCUGUAAGGAUUUAAUUAAGUGAUAGACAAAAAGUAGAGUGGCACAAGUCAAACUCAAAAAAUGGUAACAACAAAAACAAUUUCAAAAUAAGCAACAGCAAUAAAUGUUACCUACUAUUUUACAAAUGAAAAUACUGAGACCAAUAAAGGCAUUAUAGUAUAUGUAGCCUUGAAAUCAGAAGACUAAGAACAUACAAGAGAACAUAGCCUUGGAAUCAGAAGACCAAGAAACAAUUUAACUCUGCCCCUCCAGAGCUCUGAGAACUUGGGCAAGCCUCUUACCCUCUGUGAGUUUCAGUUUCCUCAUUUAUUUAAUUAAAAUAAUAAUAC